AAUUCCCAGUGUAGCGGUGAAAUGCGUAGAUAUUGGGAAGAACAUCGGUGGCGAAGGCGUGCUACUGGACCGUAACUGACACUCAGGGACGAAAGCUAGGGGAGCGAAAGGGAUUAGAUACCCCUGUAGUCCUAGCUGUAAACGAUGGAAACUAGGUGUGGCUUGUAUCGACCCGAGCCGUGCCGUAGCUAACGCGUUAAGUUUCCCGCCUGGGGAGUACGCACGCAAGUGUGAAACUCAAAGGAAUUGACGGGGGCCCGCACAAGCGGUGGAGUAUGUGGUUUAAUUCGAUGCAACGCGAAGAACCUUACCAGGGCUUGACAUGUCGCGAAUCUCGGUGAAAGCUGAGAGUGCCUUCGGGAGCGCGAACACAGGUGGUGCAUGGCUGUCGUCAGCUCGUGUCGUGAGAUGUUGGGUUAAGUCCCGCAACGAGCGCAACCCUUAUUUUUAGUUGCCAGCAUUAAGAUGGGCACUCUAGAAAGACUGCCGGUGACAAACCGGAGGAAGGUGAGGACGACGUCAAGUCAGCAUGCCCCUUACGCCCUGGGCUACACACGUACUACAAUGGUUGGGACAAAGGGCAGCGACUCCGCAAGGAAUAGCGAAUCUCAUCAAACCCAGCCUCAGUUCAGAUUGCAGGCUGCAACUCGCCUGCAUGAAGGAGGAAUCGCUAGUAAUCGCAGGUCAGCAUACCGCGGUGAAUUCGUUCCCGGGCCUUGUACACACCGCCCGUCACACCAUGGAAGCUGGUCACGCCCGAAGUAGUUACCCUAACCUUUCGAGGAGGGGGAUUCCUAAGGCAGGGCUAGUGACUGGGGUGAAGUCGUAACAAGGUAGCC
RNAcentral lists this ribosomal RNA (839 nucleotides) under uncultured marine microorganism. Its description in RNAcentral is "bacterial SSU rRNA". It matches the Rfam family "Bacterial small subunit ribosomal RNA", at positions 665 to 1501 of the family's 1533-position model. The record is from RNAcentral.